RNAcentral lists this ribosomal RNA (301 nucleotides) under uncultured bacterium. RNAcentral's name for it is "partial 16S ribosomal RNA". It matches the Rfam family "Bacterial small subunit ribosomal RNA", at positions 509 to 807 of the family's 1533-position model. The record is from RNAcentral.
CAGUAGCCACGGUAAUACGUAGGUGGCAAGCGUUGUCCGGAAUUAUUGGGCGUAAAGGGCUCGCAGGCGGUCUCUUAAGUCUGAUGUGAAAGCCCCCGGCUCAACCGGGGAGGGUCAUUGGAAACUGGGAAACUUGAGUGCAGAAGAGGAGAGUGGAAUUCCACGUGUAGCGGUGAAAUGCGUAGAGAUGUGGAGGAACACCAGUGGCGAAGGCGACUCUCUGGUCUGUAACUGACGCUGAGGAGCGAAAGCGUGGGGAGCGAACAGGAUUAGAUACCCCGGUAGUCCCUGUCUCUUAUAC